CUAACCGCAAGGAGGGCGCUGCCGAAGGUGGGAUUGGUAACUGGGGUGAAGUCGUAACAAGGUAGCCGUAUCGGAAGGUGCGGCUGGAUCACCUCCUUUCUAAGGAGA
RNAcentral lists this ribosomal RNA (108 nucleotides) under Hydrogenoanaerobacterium saccharovorans. Its description in RNAcentral is "partial 16S ribosomal RNA". It matches the Rfam family "Bacterial small subunit ribosomal RNA", at positions 1435 to 1533 of the family's 1533-position model. The record is from RNAcentral. Lineage: Bacteria; Bacillati; Bacillota; Clostridia; Eubacteriales; Oscillospiraceae.